UCAGUUGCAAGGGAAAAUCCAAGACAACAGAUAAUACAUUUCCAUUAAGAGGUGGGUAACCAUUACCAGACUUGCAAAGAAUGUGGUAAAGACCCUUGUAAACUUUCACUCUCGUACAACAACAAACAGUUUUGGAGAAGGCAAGAGGAGAGUUGGAGGUUAUUAGGAGAUAAUUUUUAGUAAAAGCUAUGUGUAUGCUGUGGGUCUCAGCACCCUUUUUUUAAAUUUUUAUUUUUUGAGACGGAGUCUCACUCUGUAGCCCAGGCUGGAGUGCAGUGGCGCGAUCUCGG
Long non-coding RNA from Homo sapiens (human), 290 nucleotides. NCBI's taxonomy places the organism in Eukaryota, Metazoa, Chordata, Mammalia, Primates, Hominidae. The record is from Ensembl.